UAGGGUUAGUUAGUUGCUAUAGCAACUAACUAACCCUACUAAGGAGUUUGUAGCUAAUAGCAAGUGGUUAGGAAACUCCACGUCUACCCUUUCCAUCUAGUCCUGGCCAAUCGCCCUUAGUGGGUAACGGCCACUGCUCCGAGGACGAAGAAGAAGAACAUGCGACGUGCCCCUCGUGCUCACGUACCUCAUUGUUGCGUUGGUCAGUACCCCCAGCGUUUGUUCUUUCCUUUUAGUAUUCUGCUGUCCUCAACCAGUUCAGCGGUAACAGCGUUUACAGGUGGCAACCCUAUGUUCAGCAGUAACAGCGUUAUGUUCCACUUGUCACAAGAAGCGGUGACUCAGAAGGUGAAGCCCUCGCAGUGCUUGCGGAAGACACCCUUACCAGGAGGCAAUGACACCGGCCUCCUAUCAUGCUGCUCCGUCUCGGGCGACCUGGAAACGUUGGUGCUGGAUCGCUUGAGCGGCACCUGCAAGAGUGCGACCAUCUCCGCAGUUGCCCUCUGUCUAGGCUGUGCCGGCCACAUAUUUUUCAACAGUGCCGUACAGCACCAGGUAUAUCCGGACAGUCUCCAAGCGCCAUGUUGCGUCCGUCACAACGGGGCGAUGCAGUUAAUGUCUGCCAGACCUGACGGUCACCAACUUAGAGAAAGGCAGACACCAACCGCCAUCGUAUCCAGGUAUUCGAGGGGUGUACGGACAAUUCUUACGGGAGUUCGGCUCUUUCAGGUUCCACAGCAUCCUCGCGAGGAAUGACCUCAGACAAUCUGUGCCCACGGUGCCGAAGUGUGUUCCUCGUAAUGCGCAAUCGCAGCUAUUUUCGAAUCACGACUUAAGAUAAUCGCAAUAUCUGUUUGCAAUAUUGCGUCACGGAUAGUGUGUUAUAGCGACUGCAUUGUCCUUCAGUAUUUACAUGCGGAUAAUAAAGCGCUUCUGUAAUUGCA
This is a long non-coding RNA of Ornithodoros turicata, 944 nucleotides long. RefSeq lists it as uncharacterized. The record is from RefSeq and is a predicted model, not a curated record. NCBI's taxonomy places the organism in Eukaryota, Metazoa, Arthropoda, Arachnida, Ixodida, Argasidae. The transcript is spliced from 2 exons.